UCCAAAGAGUCGUGUUGCUUGAUAGUGCAGCACUAAGUGGGUGGUAAACUCCAUCUAAAACUAAAUAUAACCAUGAGACCGAUAGUAAACAAGUACCGUGAGGGAAAGUUGAAAAGAACUCUGAAUAGAGAGUUAAAUAGUACGUGAAACUGCUUAGAGGUUAAGCCCGAUGAACCUGAAUAUCCGUUAUGGAAAAUUCAUCAUUAGAAUUGUAAUAUUUUAAACAAUAUUAUAAUAAUAGUGUGCAUUUUUUCCAUAUAAGGACAUUGUAAUCUAUUAGCAUAAAUAUUUAUCAUAAAAUUAUGUCUGAUUGCUUAUUUGAAUUAUAUGCUUGGCAUUUUAACAUAAAAUAAAAGAUAUAAAUUUGAUAAAGUGCUGAUAGAUUUAUAUGAUUACAGUGCGUUAAUUUUUCGGAAUUAUAUAAUGGCAUAAUUAUCAUUGAUAUUUGUGUUUAUUAUAUGCA
Molecule: ribosomal RNA, 463 nt
Filed under: Drosophila virilis
Lineage: Eukaryota; Metazoa; Arthropoda; Insecta; Diptera; Drosophilidae
Description: eukaryotic LSU rRNA
Rfam family: Eukaryotic large subunit ribosomal RNA
Source: RNAcentral